AACCAUAGAAACCUGCGGAGUACCUGCGGAAGGAUCAUUACCGAGUUUACAACUCCCAAACCCCUGUGAACAUACCUAUACGUUGCCUCGGCGGAUCAGCCCGCGCCCUGUAAAAAGGGACGGCCCGCCCGAGGACCCUAAACUCUGUUUUUAGUGGAACUUCUGAGUAAAACAAACAAAUAAAUCAAAACUUUUAGCAAUGGAUCU
This 207-nucleotide unclassified non-coding RNA is filed under the name soil metagenome. RNAcentral's name for it is "partial contains 5.8S ribosomal RNA, internal transcribed spacer 2, and large subunit ribosomal RNA". The record is from RNAcentral.